UCUUCAUAUGGGACCCGUUCCACACUCAUCAUUUCUGUUGCCCUUUUCUGAAUCUUUUCCACUGCCAAUUUCUCUUUUUUGAGACAAUGAGGCGACCAUAUCUGUAAGCAGUAUUCAAGAUGGGGUCGUGCCAUGGUUUUAUACAGAGGUAUACAGUACUACAGCUGUGUGGAGUGCUGCAGCUGCAAAAUAUACAGUGUCAGUGGGGUGCUCUCGCAGCUCCGAAAGCCUGCAGCCUACCCUCGAGAGCACAGGCAGCCAGUGGUGCGCCCACGUCACUGCUGCUUUUAAAAUUCAAGGCCACAUGUUCUUUGUAUUUGUUUGGGUGUAGGAGCAAUUAUUCCUGAAAGAUCCUAUUGCUUCUAAGCUAUUGUUGCUGAGAUGGCUCUGUAAGCGUAAGUGGCAUUUUACAGGCAAGGUUCCUGCCCGGCCCUCGUGCUCUGGGGGGAGGAGGGGCGGAAGAGGGAGGUCUGGGUGAAGGAUGGGAGUGCUCCAUGGUGCUCAGCUGCUGCUUCAUGGUUCUGUGCUAUUUAAAAUCCACUGCUGGUCAAGGCCCGGAAGCACCAUGGGGAGACUGCAGGGAUCUCCUGCCGGGCCUAGGAGGCUGUCCAGGUGUCAGGAGUGGGGCAAGCAAAGGCCACGUGCUGCACGGUGCCCGAAGGAGAUGAUCAGAGAGUCGGGUGGGAGCGGAACAGUGAGAUCCCAGCAGAUGUUAACAGCUGGGAGGCAGAUGCAUGGAGGGGAGGGGCGACACGGAGGCGUGUUGGAGUGGGCAGAGGUGGGGUCUGUGCUGGGCUGAGAGAUGGCCAUGGUUUGGGCGGAAGGCUGGCAGUGUCUGAAGGUGGGGCAGUGGGGCUUGGUGGCAGCAGGACAGGUUGAGUUUGGGAGAUGGUACCUGAGCCAGAAGAAUGGGUGAGGCCAAGCCAGAGAAAGGAGGCAAACACUCAGAUGUGCAGCGCUUGGGAUGCCUGUGGCCAUCAGAGCGCCGGUUGCUUUCGGUGCUUGCUGACCCCUCGCGGCACUUGACUGAUUCAAGAUGAGUUGGGUGUUUGAGGCAAUUUCGGUCAUUUUCUUUUUUAGCUUCUCCAGAUCCUCAGGCCCUGCAAGGGACAGUCGGGGCAGCAUCUGUCCUUUUCCAGCCAGAGCCUUUGGCAGAAAAUGAGAUUGACUUGGCCCCUCCCCAGCUGUGGCGUCUGGCCUUCCUGCUGCAGUUGGGUUUGUGUAAUGGGAGAGGGAGAGAAACGCAUCCCGUUGGAACGGGUUUUAAACGUGGAUGCAGCAGACAUGGCGGCUGUGGCUGGUUGCCCAGCAUGGCUUGCAGAGAGUACGUUUUGAUGAACAAUGUGGAACAGCCUCCCCCUGGUCAUGUGUCCUGUGCAAUUUCCACCCUGCCCCAUGGCUGUGCUGAGCAGGCGGGGGCAUUCGUGCAGUGCGCCGUUGGCCAGCAAGACUGGCUCGGACUCGGGCUGAGUGACUCCAGGUUGUCUUGGCUUUUUCUCUGUAAAACAUAGUAAAUCAAAUGCUAACAGGCCGUUUCCCAGCACCGCAUGAAGUUCCCCAGCUGAGAGUCAGGACUCUGCACUCAAGUCUGUUUUCUCUGUGAGUUUCGUGUGCCGCUGUGCAGGAAGAGGGGCACCCCGUGCCGACUGCUGCGCGGGAGCCUCACUGCAUUACUGGUUUCUUCGGCCUGGGAGAGAUGAGGCAGUGGUGUUUGGCGUGGCAAUGAGCCGUGCAAUAUGCCUUUUGUCCCCUGGCCACGCUGCUAGGUCUCACCGCUCGCAGCUUCCCUUCCUUCCGCUGCUUGCGAACUUGGGAUUUACCUUGAGCUCCUCAGAACACACUGCACUAGCCCUGAGUCAACACAGUGCUCCUCGCGGGGACCUGCUGUCUACACCAGGGCUGGUAAUGUCUGGCCCCAGUUCUGCCAAACUUGGCUCCCCACACGCAGCUGGGCUGCCGGGACAGUGUUACAUGGAGGGUGGAGCAGGCACAUAGCCCUCUCCUCCUACUGUGCCUUCAGGAAAUGGAGCUACAGCAGCUGUAUGUGUGCAUGAUCAGUGCCCCCUCCCUGGCCUCCUACCCUGUCCAGCCCCGUCAAUGUCCGCACCCCUAUUGUUCUGAUUCAGCUCUUCCGUGUCAGGGCAGGGGCCCAGCAAAUGCUGUGUCUGCAUCUGGGUCCUGGGAGGAGGGGCUUGGGUGAGAACAGAGGGAAUGGUUUUUCCCUUGCAGGCGCCCUGCGAGUUCCCAUAGCUUGGUCCCCUCCCUAGGUGUGCUUUCGACCCCCAGCCCAGCUGGGCAGGAGUGACUGAGAGCCAGCCAGCUGAGCUGAGUGUUUGGGACAAGUAGCAGAGCUGUGUGUGCUGCUUCCUGAGAGCCACGGCUGCAGAGCGCUCCCCUCCAGCUCUGUUACCUCUCUGGCAGGCUGGUGAAACCUGCUCUCCAGCAGAGGACGCGGGCUUUCCGCACAGUGGGAGUCCCCUGCGCGGCAGCGUUUGUCUCUCCCCAGAGUGGCAGCUGGAAGUGGGCUCCUGGUGUCGGAAAGUGCCAGGACCGCUGAUAUCUCUGGGCUGUUGCGCAGCAGCUGACCACCAUGUGGAGGCUUUCUCCUGGGGUCAUUCAACUCCCCGCCACAGUCCCACCCUCUGUUUUCAAGGGCAUUCACAGACUACAUUCCCUGCCAGGCGGGGCCAUGCCCCAGGGGCCUCUGGCAUUCCCACUCUGCUCUGCUUUGCUGCACAGUCGCAUGGCCCUCUCCUUGGGCCUGACACGCACGGCGGCUGCCCAGGUGGACAGCUGUUAUUUUUAGGGAAAUAUUUCAAUUGCUUCAGCUGCUUCUCAUUAAGAGAUCGUCCAAACUCCCCAAGUUCCCUGCCAUUCUGCCACUGGGCUUAAUGGGGGAGGGGUGCAGUGCUCAGAGCAGUGGUAUGUGAAUGGGGCAGAUGAUUCGCAGAGCACUGCUUUUGUUUUAGGAGAGGAGCCUUUCCAUCGUGCUGCUGUGACU
Pelodiscus sinensis (Chinese soft-shelled turtle) is the source of this 3001-nucleotide non-coding RNA. NCBI's taxonomy places the organism in Eukaryota, Metazoa, Chordata, Testudines, Trionychidae. The record is from RefSeq and is a predicted model, not a curated record.